RNAcentral lists this transfer RNA (75 nucleotides) under Acidobacteriota bacterium. Its description in RNAcentral is "tRNA-Cys". It matches the Rfam family "tRNA". Rfam says of the family: Transfer RNA (tRNA) molecules are approximately 80 nucleotides in length. Lineage: Bacteria; Pseudomonadati; Acidobacteriota. RNAcentral also lists the same sequence under 4 other names. The record is from RNAcentral.
GGCGCGGUAGCCAAGUGGUAAGGCAGAGGUCUGCAAAACCUCUAUUCGGCGGUUCGAUUCCGCCCCGCGCCUCCA